This 69-nucleotide transfer RNA is filed under the name Nipponeurorthus fuscinervis. Its description in RNAcentral is "tRNA-Ser". It matches the Rfam family "tRNA". From Rfam's summary of the family: Transfer RNA (tRNA) molecules are approximately 80 nucleotides in length. Their secondary structure includes four short double-helical elements and three loops (D, anti-codon, and T loops). The record is from RNAcentral. Lineage: Eukaryota; Metazoa; Arthropoda; Insecta; Neuroptera; Nevrorthidae.
AAUUAAUGAGCUUGAAUAAGCAUAUGUUUUGAAAACAUAAUAUAGAAGUUAAAAUUCUUCUAUUAAUUU